This 460-nucleotide ribosomal RNA is filed under the name uncultured bacterium. RNAcentral's name for it is "partial 16S ribosomal RNA". It matches the Rfam family "Bacterial small subunit ribosomal RNA", at positions 338 to 795 of the family's 1533-position model. The record is from RNAcentral.
CCUACGGGAGGCAGCAGUGAGGAAUAUUGGUCAAUGGACGAGAGUCUGAACCAGCCAAGUAGCGUGAAGGAUGACUGCCCUAUGGGUUGUAAACUUCUUUUAUAAAGGAAUAAAACGAGGCACGUGUGCCUUUUUGCAUGUACCUUAUGAAUAAGGAUCGGCUAACUCCGUGCCAGCAGCCGCGGUAAUACGGAGGGUCCGAGCGUUAUCCGGAUUUAUUGGGUUUAAAGGGAGCGUAGGUGGGUUGUUAAGUCAGUUGUGAAAGUUUGCGGCUCAACCGUAAAAUUGCAAUUGAUACUGGCAGUCUAGAGUACAGUUGAGGUAGGCGGAAUGCGUGGUGUAGCGGUGAAAUGCUUAGAUAUCACGAAGAACCCCGAUUGCGAAGGCAGCUUACUAAACUGUGACUGACAUUGAUGCUCGAAAGUGUGGGUAUCAAACAGGAUUAGAUACCCCAGUAGUC